CAAGCCUGAUCCAGCAAUGCCGCGUGCAGGAUGAAGGCCUUCGGGUUGUAAACUGCUUUUGUACGGAACGAAAAGCCUCUCUCUAAUACAGGGGGGUGAUGACGGUACCGUAAGAAUAAGCACCGGCUAACUACGUGCCAGCAGCCGCGGUAAUACGAAGGGGGCUAGCGUUGCUCGGAAUCACUGGGCGUAAAGGGUGCGUAGGCGGGUUUCUAAGUCAGAGGUGAAAGCCUGGAGCUCAACUCCAGAACUGCCUUUGAUACUGGAAGUCUUGAGUUCGGGAGAGGUGAGUGGAACUGCGAGUGUAGAGGUGAAAUUCGUAGAUAUUCGCAAGAACACCAGUGGCGAAGGCGGCUCACUGGCCCGAUACUGACGCUGAGGCACGAAAGCGUGGGGAGCAAACA
This 404-nucleotide ribosomal RNA is filed under the name uncultured Bradyrhizobiaceae bacterium. Its description in RNAcentral is "bacterial SSU rRNA". It matches the Rfam family "Bacterial small subunit ribosomal RNA", at positions 378 to 774 of the family's 1533-position model. The record is from RNAcentral. Lineage: Bacteria; Pseudomonadati; Pseudomonadota; Alphaproteobacteria; Hyphomicrobiales; Nitrobacteraceae.